AAGUUAGUUUCUUUUUUCACUGACAAACAUCUAUCAUAUUGCUUUUCCUAAAAAAAGCCAAAGCUAAAUCAAGGUGGAGUUUCUCCAAGAAGCAUAAUUAAUCACAAACCAUAUAAGCAAUAAAAUAUGGUCGGCAACACCCUUUUAUUACUUCAAUUUAUUUUGUUUUAGGUAUAUGAAACCACCCUAUAUUAUAAAAUUACACCACAUUAUUUCAACAAGCCAGUGAAGUAUCGGCGAAAACAUUUUAACAAGAGAGAUUUGGGCCAGGAGCAACACCAAAUUUGUUGCAAUAAUCUUUAUAAUAUCCAAUGCGAGCUAGAACCUGAGCAGGUUGCUUGCCACCGCAUUCAACGGCACCAUUGAUUCUCUGAAUUGUUGCACCAAAACCUUGGUUCAUAACUGGGUGCACAUUGGUCAUCCAAAACCACAAGGCAGUCUUAAAUGACACAACGGGGUCCUUGGCCACCGUUUCCGGAGCUCUUAAUCCGUCAAACCCGAUGGCUUUUCCGGCAGCUCCGUAGUUUCCAUUUCCGGUGAGUUGGAUCGGUCCACGGCCGUAGUAGAACUUUCCGGGAACACAUGGGUACUGUUUGUUUUGUUCAUCACAGUACCGGUUGGACUUGUUAAUCUCUUCUAUGUAGCAGAAAUCUGAAAAAGCCAGACAUUUUUUUUCUAAUUAAUUCUCUCCGGGCUUAAUCAAGAUAAUUGGCUAGUGGCAAAUCAUAUCAAUUAAAAGUUGGAGUAUUCAAUUAGUUUUAUUGAAAACUUUUAUGUGUUCAACAAACUGAGAACAUUAUUUAAUACAUAUAAAGCAUGUAAUUAAAAAGAUUAUGUUCAUUCCAACCUUAUAUAUAUUUCUAGUAGUGAACAAAUAUGGGCCCUUCGAUUUGAAAUUCAACUUCAACCUUUUGCUUUUUUUUCCUGGGGCGGCGGGGGGGGGGAUAUAGUUUUAAAAAAUUUCAAAAACGGUUUUGAAAAUAAUAAAACAAAGAAAAGUCGUUUUCUUCUCUAUGCAUGGAUUGCUCAUAAAUACUUUGCAUGCAAAAAGAAAUAAAAUGGAGAGAACUUACGUCCAGUUUCAUGAGUGACGUGUGCAAAAAAUGCAGCAAUCUCACGCUUCGAAACUUCAGGAGAGCCGCUACCAAAUUGAGGAUAAGCCUUGGCAGCAUUCAGAAACGCAUCUCUCGUGUAGAAGCUCUUGCCGGCACAACUCGCGGCUGCCUGAUUCUUUAUGCCGUCGAAGAACUGGGGAGUCACAAUGCUAGCAACAUUUUGACACAUUACUUUGGUGGGAAAAGCUAGGGCAAGAAUGCCCACAAGAGCAAAGGUUACAAUAUUUUUUUUCAUGUUAAGUGGAGCCAUUUUGUUUAGGAGUAGAGAAAUGUGAGUGAUAUGCAAAUGUUGGUGAUGGGAGUACGGUAUUUAUAGAGUGCAAAAUGGACGUUAUGUCUGCCACGUGCUGGUGAAUUGUGAUAAAUUUGAACAUAGAGUUUAUCUCUUGUUAGGUUUUUCUAGACUUCGCAUUUGUUGUGGCUUGAAAUCUAGCUGGCUUGACUUGUCAAAAGAACUAGAAAUAAAAUAAAAGAAAAUAAAUCAAAUCUUUCGAGUGGGUUGUUGAUUGACCGCCAUCUAUAUUAAACUUUUUCAAAUUAAAUUUGAAUAAUAAUUGUACAAAAUAUAAUUUUAAAUAACUAAUUUUCAAUAAAUUUUGAGGAAAUUUGUUUUUUAAUGUAACUGAAUUAAUUGUAGAUUGGAAAAUCUUAAACUCAUACUUGUUUCGAGCUUUCAGAUAUUGAAACUCAGACAUGUUUAUUUUUAAUUAUCUACCUACUUUGUUUAUAUAUAUACACAUGCACUAGACUUUACACAAAUUUUAACAAAAAAAUAUGUGGUUUGUACUCAUUUGAGUGAUUUAAAUUUUUUUAGGUUUGUUAAUUAAUAACUAAUAACAUGGUAUCAUAUUUUCUCAGCUAAAUACUUAUUUGGUCUGUGUAUUUUUCAGUUAAGUAUCCAUUUAAUCUCUUUAUUUUAGAAAAUAUUUCAAGACAUCUUUACUGGUAAAUAUAUUACAUUCCUACCCUGAUCUUUUCUUUGAUUUUAGAAUAAUACCCUUACAAUAAUAUUGUUGGAGAUUCAAUGAAAAGAAAAAAAAAUGAAUUUAUCAAAUUAGUCUUAAAAGUAAGAUAAAAAUUACUCUAUCUAUUUUUUGUUAUCUUAAUUUUAGGAUUAAUUUGGUAAUUAAUUUUUUUUUACAAAAAAUUAACUUAGCUUAAACAUUGCUUUAAAUUAGUUGGUUUUAAUUUAUCAUAAAUGGUUACUAGUUGUUUUAGAAUGAUAUUUAUUUCUAAUUUUCUAAUAUAUUGGUUAAUAUGCUAUUUAUUUUUUUAGAUAAAAAAUUAAUGCCAAAAAUAUUAUUGUUAGUAUUGUUGUAAAAGGUAAGAAAAAAAUAAGAGGAAGAUCGUAACAUAUUUAAAAUAGGAUGUCUUUACAUUUUUUUUUAAAAUAUGUGGACAAAAAAGAUAUUUAAAUUAAAAUAUAGGAUAUAUACCCUAAUUUCUUUAUAACUUAAUUUCCUUUCUUUCCUUAAUUCUUUUUCCUUUUUUUUAGUGAUAUCAGUUAUCACAAUGUAAAAAUUAAUAAUCAGUCCAAACAUCUGAGUUUUUUUUAAUAUUUUCCGUUUAUAAAUACUGAAAUAUUUAUGUAUAUCUUCGAAACUGAAAAGUCAAGCCUUCCACUAACUCCCGUUCUCAAUUAGCGGCGUAAAUUUGGGUCCAUGAAAUGAAAGCAAUUCUUCUUGUACCCUUUUCUCCACACUAGUUCUUCUCGUUCUCUUCUCGGCAUUGAUAUUCUGGUGUGUCACUAAUCAAUUUAAUAUCUCAAAAUAUUUUGGUGACGUCCUAAUGUAUACAAACUUUCAUUCUCAAGUACAAGGGUUUCAUCUGUUUUAAUAAAAUUAAUAUUUAAUAUAUUAUAAAAUCAUGUAAUUUAAUAAUAUGUUUGUACUAAUUUUAUUAAAUCAUAUGACUCAAUAACGUGUCAUAUGAAAUAAACAAUAAGCUGUCCACAUGAAAAAAAAAAGUUUAUAUCUAUACUUAUCAAAAAUUAAUUAGAAAAUAUCCUUAUUAAAAAUCUAACCGAUCAAAGGAGCUUCUAAAACUUUCACGUAGGAUAAGUUGUCUUUUUCCAUAACUUAAAAACUUUUUUCUGAUACAAACCCCAACAUAUGAUUAUGGCCAUAGAAAAUUUGAAAAUUUUGUCCCAAAAAAAAACUUGAAAGAAAAGCUUAAAACUAAUAACGAAAAAUAGGAUAAAUUAAUCAAACACAUGAUGACCAAUUUUGCAUUAAUCUAUUUGUGAUAGCCAAUUUUAAUCCAAAAUAAAUAUAUCUGCAAUCGGAAAAAUAACUUUUUUUUUUAACUUCGAUAUUAGCGACAGGCAGCCACUGAUUGGGACCAUCAAGUAUACAAGUUUACAACGGUACGAAACUUGUUUCGAUUGCAUUCGGCUUCCCCAAAAAGGGGCAAAAAAGAAAACAGAUUUUCUUUGUAAUGUCGGUAGCAUGUUCUUUUGACAAGUUUAAUAAAAGAUUCAAAGAAAAUCUAUGACUUUUUACUCAAAACUUUCCACCUGGGGAGAUGAAAACUGCACAGUUAAAGCAUCAAACACAUUGUUCAUGAAUCAUGAUCAAAGGAAAAAAAAUUUCUGAGCUGGAUUGAAAACAUCAAAAUCAGUAUUCAUAAAUCAUGAUAAGAAGAUAAAAGUUCUCUUUGUCGGAUAAGAAACAUUAGCUUUUCAGAAUUUUUUUUUUUUUUUAAAAUGAACUUAGAAGGAUUCCAAGUGUCCCUUUUACUAAUUUAUAAAUAGGGUAAUUUGCCCUUAUUUGUAUGAAAAGCCAACCACAUCCUCCUGACAAAAAAACAAAAAAAAGGGGCAAAAAGCCAACCUCAUCCGUCGAAUCAGCCAGUAAUUUUUUACACGUGUACAAUUUUUGGGAUUUCUUAACACAUGCUGUUUGGAAAGCAUCUCGUAUCGCCCAAAAUAAAAAGUGCAUAAUUUUCUUUUUUUCAAAGGUUCUUUUAUAAAUGAUAUCGGUCAAUGGAAUUAUUGUUUUGCUCUAAUUUUUUAUUAGGCUCUUCUCUUGGGAUUUUUGUCCUUCAUUCGAAGCCUUCUGACAAAUCACAAUUGGGGCUAUUUUGAAUGACAAAGCUUGCUGGACUUAUGACUAGGCUCCUUUUGGUAUGUCAUUUCAUUUGAAUAUGUAAUUUCUUUAAUUACGUUUGAAAAGGAAAAAUAUGACAAGAAAGAGGAGUACACUAUAAUAGUUGUCUGAGUCUGAUAAUGGACUGUACAGUGCUUACCUUGAUAGAACUCAGUGCACAAAGUAGUUGAGCAUACAUAACAAAAUCCCCAAACUUUACUCCGUUGCCAAACAUGUCUAAGUUAAAUUUACUCUAUUAUAAAAAAGUCUUGGGCGUUGGGUGUUUUAGGAGCACCACAUCAUUCACAUUCACAUUAUAAUAUUUGAGCAAAAGAAAAUUGCCUAAAAUAUGUAUGAUUAUCUGCAGGCUUUAAGUUUUAUCCAAUUAAAGAAUUGAAUGUUCAUCAUUUAUCAAAUUAAUAACUAGUUUUUAAAGAAAUUAUGGCUCUAAAGUAUUUCCAGUUUUCUUUAAUUUCAUAGACGAGUCAAUUAAAAACAAAAAUAAUCCAUUAAUUUAUGGCAGACGAGAACAAUAUUUCAAUUGCAAAUCAACCUGAAAGUUGUUUACAAACAUAUCAUAAUCUAUAGGAACAAAUCAGUUAUAUAUAUAUAUAUAUAUAUAUCUUAUGGCAACAAAAAAACAUACAAAUUAACUUUAUUCUUGAUUUUUUUCUACACGACAAUAGUUGUUUACAAUUGUAUGAUUCUGGCUGAUGGAGGUAUAAACCACAAAUCAUGUGAUUAGUAAUUAGUUCUUUCAACUAUUGUUCAAGCAAUAAAGAGUCCCAUUUCAUGGCCAAGAUUGCACGUCAACCAAAAAAAGACAUGAUCUUAAAUGAUAUAACAAAAUAAAUAUGUAGUAAUUUCACUUACAAACUAAGGGUAUUUUUUACUUUCCUCCAUUGAUUAUUCAAAAAAACUUCCGCUGACCUGAAAACAUUUUUUACCAUAACAGUUGUGUGGCUGUUUAGUGGACCUUGAGGCGUUCCAUAGGACAUCCACUGAUUCCAAAUAAAAAACGCACCCUUUGUUGAGUCCGGCCCAAUACAUCUUUUGUCAUCUACAAUAAAUUAUUUUACAAUUUAUGUUUAUGAUUUUUGGACUUAAUAACAGCGGUUCAUUGACAAUCUACUUUAACAGUAAGGGAACCUAUUUUUAGGUUGCAAAACUUGCAGCAAUAAAUUAGCUUCCCCAAAAGAGAAAUAAAGAUUUCACAUUCUAAUUAAAUAUCAAGGAAAUUAAUUAAUUGUGCUCCAUUAUUCCAACUUCCGAGAUCAGUACAUCAAAAUUGAACAUUAAUAAUUAAAUUGUUCAAAACUUGUUGCGAUAAGCUAGCUAGUUCCCAAAUGGAAGUAUAAGAUUUCACUUCCUUAGAUAGACACGAUAAUCUUUUACUAUAAAUUUAAAUUAAACCUUAUUAAAGGUCUUGAAUUCAUUGUACGCACAUAGUUUGAACCUCAUAUAGACCACCAACGUAACCAUGAAGAAAACUAUCUUCUAUAAAAGAUUUUCCCACCAAAGCUGAACAAGUAUCAGAUUUAGGGUUAGGAUUAGGAUUUGUCAACAUUUAGAAAUUUGGAUUUAGAUUCAGGAUUUGGCAACAUUCGAAUUUCGGGUUAGGUUUUGGUAGUUUUCCUGUUGUAUUUUAAUGGCUAUUAACAAGAAAUUAAUCAACUCACACAACUUUGAUCAAUUAAAGACAGAAUGGAAUCAAGAACAGAAAAUGAUUCAGUCAAACAAGAACCUAGAAAACUAUUCACAGUGAACAAGCUUCCAAGUUUCAAAGGAAAAAUGAACAAGAUCUCAUUACUCAAAUGCUUUACAAUCAGAUCAAUUGUUUUGAGGACACUUCAAGGAUUCCAAAGAAUCUAGAAUCACCUGUUUUAGCUAAGAAACAAAAGAGAAAUCACACACAAAGCAAUGCACAGCAGGCCCUUUUAUAUUUUGGAAAUUUUCUAGAAACACCUUAACAACCUUUAACCUUUUUGCCACAUUAGCGCAGAAUUUACAAAUUGACUCCUCAUUUGAAGUCGAUUUGCACAUUACCCAGCAACUUUCAUUCGAUUACAUUUUAGUCCAAAAACAUAACUCAUGUCCUCACACUCUCCACCUUGCAGAUCUGAUUCAGCAUUACUCUUGACCAUAAGUGCUUUAAAAAAAAAAACCUUCAACCACGCAACUUAACAACUAGAACCAUUUCUAAUACCAAUCAAGUCUACACAAAUCUUAAAUUUGGCUGUUGGAAUUACUUCUAUUAACAUAUCAGUAGGGUUGAUAUCUGUAUAUAUUUUUGUUACUACAACAAACCCUUUUGCGACCUCAUCUCUGAUAAAGUGCAACUUCAUAUCAAUGUGUUUGGUUCUCCCACGAUAAAUUUCAUUUUUGAUAAGCUGAAUCGCACUCUAAUUAUCACAAAAGAUCUAAACUGUCUUUUGCUUCAACCAAAAUUCAUUCAGUAGCCUUCUCGGCCACAAUGAUUCUUUUACUGCCUCUAUUGCAGCAAAAAUUCAGCCUCGGUAGAUAACAAAGCUACUAUGUGUUGUAAAGUAAGUUUCCAACUUAUGAGACAGUUUUCCAGCAUGAACAGGUAUCCAGAGAUAGAAUUUCUCCUAUCUAAGUCACCUGCAAAAUUAGAGUCCACAUAGCCUCUAACUUCACAGACUUCUUGCUUGGAUUUGCCAUACACCAAACCAUAAUCUAAAGUACGUUUCAAGUACCUCAUAACCCAUUUCAUAGCAUCCUAAUAAAGCUUAUCAGGAUUACUCAUAAACCUGCUUACUACACUUACUGCAUAAGCUAUGUCUGCUCUGGUGCAAACCAUUGCAUACAUUAAGCUUCCUACAGCCAGUAAAUAUAGAAUUUCUUAGCAUCUGAUAUUGGAGACAUAUCAUCAAAGAGUUUAAAUUGAGCUCCCAAAAGUGUCAUUACAGGUUUUGAAUCCAUCAUAAUAUACUUUUCUAACUCCUUACUGACAUAUCUUGAUUGGCUUAGAAAUAAAGUACCAACAGCUCUAUCUCUAAGAAUAUCCAUAACAAGGAUCAUCUUAGCACUGCCAAGAUCUUUCAUUUCAAAUUCCCCCUUUAAUAAAUUCUUAAGUUUCUCAAUAUCACUAGAAUUUUUACCAACAAUGAGUAUAUCAUCAACAUACAACAAAAGAUACAUAGCUCCACCUGAGGUUAUGUUCCUAUGAUAGACAUGUUGUGCAAAUUUUAUUGAACUCGCAAGUGCACGAAUCUAUUUUAGAAUAGAUCAAUGGUGACAAGUGUCGAUCCCACGAGGAGGUGGAUUUUAAUUGUGUGUAGAAUUAAUUUUUCUAAAUGGGUGGUUGGAAUUAUGGUAAAGAUGAUUUGGAAUAUCUUAAAAUUUAAAUUGAAAUUACAGAAUUAAAUUAAAAUGGAAACUAUAAUAAUUGAAGCGCUUGGGUAUCUGGAUCCGCAUUAACAUGCACCAUGGGCUAAAUAUUUCUUAUUAAUGCCAAUUAAAUCAUGAGGGGGGAAUCCACACCUCAUGAACCACACUCUAAUCAAUAUGGUGCUAAGAGCUUAUCGUACCAAAUAAUAAUAACUUUGUACUAGGGAGCCGGUAAAACCAAGGCGGUAUCUAGACAAGAUUAUUAUUAUUUGUCGACGAAAAGUCAAAACAUCCACAAAAAUUAGAGGGGAAGAGAAAAUAAAUUUACCAAAUAAAGCCCAUGACAUAUGUUGAGAAUUCACCUUCAACCCAAGCUUGAAAGAAAAUUAAGUACUCAUAAUUGAACUAGGGGAAAAAUAAGAAUUUAUUAAAAUACGUAGAAAAUACAAGAUGGAGAAGGAAUUAUAGAAAAUGGAACUUAAAAUUGAAUUCAGAGAUAUCAAAAUAGGGGGGGAGAGGUCCUAUUUUUAUAGAUACAUUGAGUAAACCAUGACUAUCGAAUUAAAAACAGUUUGAACGCUCAGGAUUGCGCCACGUCAUCAGUCAACAGUACGCGGUUUGACCACGCGGUUUGAACAGUGAUACGGUUUGACCACACGGUUUGAACAGUCAACCGGUUUGAAUAGUGACAUAGUUUGGUUGAAAAUAAUCUUGUGUAUAUGCAUGUACUAUACGCGCGAUUUUUAGUCCACUGAUAUGCUGCCGCAUCACCAAUCAACAGUGCAUAAGAAUUUUCUCCAAUGGAAUCGUGUCACCUCAUCAGUCAAUGCCACAUUAUCGGUCAAUGCCACGUCAUUGAUCCGUCUAUGUGAACAGUAUCGUGAACAGUAACGUAAACAAUACCGUACAUGUGAAUAAUAUCGUACAUGUGAACAAUGAUAUUUUUCCUUUUAUGCUCCUCCUAAGGUUUUCGACUGUCCUGAGUUCAAAAGUGAUGUCCGUUUUGCCGUCUGAUCUCUCGUUCAUUAUGAAAUGACCAUGAUGUCCUUAAAAUACAUAAAAUACUUAAUUAAAAUAAAACAUAUAUAAUUGAAUCACAAGAAACUUAAAAUACAUAAAAGUAAGGGUGUUAGUAAGACUUGAAAUGUAAAAUGACGAUUUUCUCCUUUAUAAAUAUACAUUUUCUAACACUCAACAAGACACAAUUAUCAUAUGUGCUCUUGUAAUAGCCAUUAGAGAUCAUAAACUGGUCAAAUCUCUUACAUUGCCUAGGAGACCCUUUCAAGCCAUAUAGAGACUUAUGCAGAAGACAUACAUAAUCCUUAUGUCCCUUUACUUUAAAACCUUCAGGCUGUGACAUUAAUAUCUUCUCUUCAAGAUUAUCAUGUAAGAAGACAGUCUUUAUAUCCAUUUGUUCAAGCUCUACGUGAAGCAAAGUCACCAUAACAAGUAAGGUUCUAAUUGAUUUGUGUUUUACAGCAUGUGAGAAGAUUUCAUUAAAAUAUACCCCUCAUUUUGAAACCCCUUGCCACAAGUCUUGCCAUAUAUCUUGAGUCUUUAACACCUGGAAUACCUUCAUUCCUCUUGAAUAUCCAUUUGCAGCUGACAAUUUUCCUAUUUCUUGGAUUAGAAACCAAUGUCCAUGUCUGAUUCCUUACCAGAGAAUCCAUCUCUUCCCUUAUUGCUUUAAUCUAGUUAUUGUUGUUCUUGUUACUUAGUGCUUUUGCGUAGCUGCUAGGCUUUUCAAUUGAAACAUCCUCUACACUCGUCAAUGCAUAUGCAAUUAUGUCUGUAUAUGCAUACCUUUUUGGGGGUAUGAUAUGUCUUCUUUAUAUGUCCAUAUCUAAUUGAUAUUAUUGCAGAUCAGUAACUUGUGGUGCUGCAUCUUCAAUUACUACUGUAUCUUGAGAAUAAUCUUCAACAGCUUCUGGUUGUACUUCAUCUUUAUGAGCACUAGACGACUCUACCUCAAUCUUAACACCUUGAUUAAUGACUCCAGUAGUCAGUGUCUUAUUUACAUUAAUAUCAGUAUCAGAAGUUACUUGAUCAGACUUAUUGAUUACAAUAACUUCAUUAAACAGAAUAUAUAAUUAAACACUUAUUAGCUUUUCCACACCAAACUAUGUAGCCUUUAACCCCAUCUAUAUAACGAACAAAUGCUCAUUUGACAGCUUGUGCAUCAAGCUUCCCUUUUCUAAUAUGAACAUACGUAGGAUGCCCGAAUACCCUGAGAUAUUUAUAGCUUGCAAGUUUUCCAGACUAGACUUCUUAUGGAGUUUUGAACCCAAUGGCUGAUGAUGGACUUCUAUUAAUGAGAUAACAGGCUGUUGAGAUAGCUUCAACCCAAAAACUCCUUGGUAAUUGAUAAUUGAUCAAUAAGCAUCUUGUCUUAUAAACAAGGGUUCUGUUCAUCUUUUCAACUAAGCCAUUUUGCUGAGGGGUGAGCGUUACCGUCUUAUGCCUCCUAAUCCCUCAUUCUUGAUAAAAAAAAAAAACUUUAAACUCUUUAUUACAGAAUUCAAGUUCAUUGUCUGUCCUAAGGCAUUUCACUUUGAAACCAUAUUGAGCCUCCACCAAAGCCUUCAAGACUUUAAAAUUUUCCAAGACUUUAAAAUUUUCCAAGACUUGACCUUUGGUUUUCAAAUAUAUAUACCCAAACCUUUUUGGAGUAAUCAUCUAUCACAGACAUAAAGUACUUUCCACCACUUAGAGAAGAGACCUGACCAGGCGCUCAAAGAUCAGCAUGCACAUAGUCUAAAGGUUGUUUAGACACAUGCAUCCCUUUAGUAAAUUUGACCUGUGUGCUUUGCUAAAAAUACAGUUUUCACAUAAGUCUAACUCAAUUAUUUUGUCACCACAGAGCAACCCUUGAAUACUUAAUUUUUGCAUUCCCCUAAUACUCAUAUGGCCAGGUCUAAGAUGUCAUAACAUAGUUCUAUCAAGCUCAGAAAUAGUUGUCAUUACAGUUGACACAAGCACUGAUGAUCCUUCUAAUAUAUAAAGACCAUUUUUCUUAAUCCCUUUCAUUACCAUCUCAGUCCUUUUCAUAAUCUUUAAACCACUAUUUUCAAAUUUGAAGAAGUAUCAUGUACUAUCCAGCAUGCCUAAAGAGAUUAAGUUCCUCUUUAGCCUAGGUGUAUGUCUCACAUCAUAUAGAGUUAUAACAAUCCCAUCAAACAUCUCUAUUUUGAUAAACCCUAUACCAAAAAUCUUACACACAUUGUUUUUUCCCAUCAAAACUCUACCACUAUCCACAUAUUCAUACUCAUAAAAAAAACUUCUAUCAGGACACAAAUGAAAGGAACAGUCUGAAUCAAGGACCUAAUAACCUCUAAUGUUGUUGUUUAAGGCUACCAACAAGUCAGCACUAUGGUAUCCAUCAUCAGAUAAAUCAUCUGAGGCCACUGCUGCAUCUCAUAUUCUCUCCGUAUCAUAUUUCUUUUUCUCAGAACAAUCUCUAAUGUAAUGGCCUUGUUUCAUACAGUAAAAACACUUCCUCUUCUUCAUUUUUUUUCUUUUGCAGAUCUAUCAAAAUUGUACGUGAAAAGUUCUCAUUUAUCCUUUAAUAAUGCAUAUUUUUUGUCACUGUUUAAAAGUUGGAACAAAAUGAGUAAUAAAUUUCAUUGGAACUCAAGUGGUAAAAAUAAAUUAUAAGAUAGAUGGAGCAUCAUUCUCCCUAAUUUUAAUUAAUAGAUCAAACUUUUUCUUCUGGAUAAUUAUUUCGAGGAAUAGUAUCCUUAGCUCGUUUACGUAGGCAACAAGUUAGCAUAACCUACAUAUGAAACAAUAUCUUCUAAAGACUUGAAAAUUCUCGUAAGCAAGAAGUUAGCAUAACCUACAUAUAAAACAAUAUCUUUUAAAGACUUGAAAAGUCUAGUCAAUUUUCUAAACUUUCAUUCUUGAACGAUGUCUAUUUUCUUAUAGGUAAACUCAAGGGACAUUUUCUUUAAAAAAAGUUGAUAAAACAAAUGUGAAAUUGAAUUAAAUUCUCAUAAUUAGAACCGAAGCAGAAAAAAAAUGACGUUAUUUUAUAUUUAAAUAAUGCUACAUAGCAUGAUCUAAGAGAAUAUAAGAAAUUAAAUAAAAAAUAUUAAAUUUUGUAAAAAAAUUAAAAAAUUUUAUAAAUAUUUAAAGGACCAAACUAAAUCGAAAAUCUUAGUUCUAAUUCUAUUCCUAUUGAUUUUUCAAGAAUUCAGUACUGAACCAAACUAAAGUUUUGGAUUCGGCCCAAUACCUAAUCAAAUCGUCUCAUUGCCCACCCUUAAGUAAAUUAUUGUUUAUAUAUAGCUUGUUGCAAAAUAAUAAUCAUAUAGGAUUCAAUUACUUUGAAACAAUUGCAACAUGUGUCAAAUUUUUUCAUUAUGAUACUUCAGCUGUAUACAUGAAAAAGUAGUUUCAACGGUAGGAUGUUGUUAUUUGGUUAUUAACAUUAUACCCUCUAAAAAAUAUUUCAGAACUUAAAAACAAUCCGGCCCAAAUUCCAAAUCUCUCUCUUCUUCUCAAAAUCAUCUUCAUCUCAUCUCAUCUCACCUUCAUUUCAUCUUGUUCCCUAAUUGUCGCCCAAAUUCUCAUCUUGUUCUUGUUCAUUUACAACUGAAUUUGAUUUAGCAUUAUUAUUUGUGGAACUUUCAAAUUAAAUUGACCAAAAGUGACUGUUCCUUUGGGGGUGGACCCAGGCCUCGAAAAUUUUUGCUUACACCCCUUAAUUUUUUAUAAUUUUUCAUAAAAUAAUAUUUAUUUUAUUUUUAAAUAUGUCCCCAAUUCAACUUUUUUUUUCUUCAAUUAGAGUUAGAGAUUAUAUAUUUAUUUAAUAAAUUGAAAACAUCAGAAGUUUAAAGCCUUAGCACCGCUUUACCUUAUUAUAAAAAAUAUUAUAAUUUGGUCUAAUUGAAAAAAAAAUGUCAAUAGAUUAUAAUAUUAUCACUAUGAGUAAUUUUAAUCUUAUAAUAAGAGAAUCUUUUACUUUAGGGAAAAAGAUACCUACAUCCUCAAGGUUUAGAGAAAUGGUUAUGUAGAUCUAAAAUUUUUAAUAAAAGAUACCAAGACCCACUUUUGAUUAUAAUACCAUUUAGCACUAUUAACUCAAAAUUUUUUUGUAAGGUUGUCCUACUAUCUUAGUAUGUUAAAUUUGUUGGAAAAAAUCCAAUACUAUUGGGUUAUGUGACAGAAUAAUAAGUCUCUAAAUGGUAUGAUUGAGGUGGUGCGAUGAUCCGACACAAAUAUUUCUUGUCAAACAAAGGGUUCAAAGCCAUAAAAUUAGUAGAGUAAAUGCAAUAAAAUAAUGUUAUUCAUAAAGCUGAAGUUUUAUGCUCCUCCAAAAUUGAUUUAGCUUACUGGCAGCCCCGAUAAAAGCUGCCCGGUGCCGGCUAUCAGCCAUCUUUAUAAAUGUGUUGAUUUAUUUAAUAAAUUGAAAAUACAUAAGAAAGUAAGGAGGCCAAAUAAAAUUUAGUAUUGCAAAAGAUUGAAAAAAAGGCGCCACUGUGAUACUACGGUACGAAAGUUGUCGCGCAGUUUCCUUUGUCCUAAUCUCUAACACGAUUCUUCUCAUAAUUCCAUGGAAACAUUGUCUUGUUCUGAACCAAUUAUUGUUGUCAAAUACUUUGUUACAUUCUUUUUAUGAUACACAUAUUAUCAAAAUAUUUGUUACAUUUAUUAAGUUAUUAAUUCAUCAUAUUUUUUAAGUCCUAUGUUACAAAUAUUAUGUUAUGAAAAAGCUGGGUUACUUAAAGUUGGUGUCCAAUCCGACACUCAAUCAAUCACUAAAGCUAGUAUUGCUCUUUGUAUAAAGUUAGUUUCUUUUUUCACUGACAAACAUCUAUCAUAUUGCUUUUCCUAAAAAAGCCAAAGCUAAAUCAAGGUGGAGUUUCUCCAAGAAGCAUAAUUAAUCACAAACCAUAUAAGCAAUAAAAUAUGGUCGGCAACACCCUUUUAUUUCUUCAAUUUAUUUUGUUUUAGGUACAUGAAACCACCCUAUUUUAUAAAAUUACACCACAUUAGGAACACACUUUUAUUUCUUCAAUUUAUUUCGUUUUCGAUACAUGAAACCACCCUAUAUUAUAAAAUUACGCCACAUUAUUUCCACAAGCCAGUGAAGUAUCGGCGAAAACAUCUUAACAAUAGAGAUUUGGGCCAGGAGCAACACCAAAUUUGUUGCAAUAAUCCUUAUAAUAUCCGUUGCGAGCUUGAACCUGAGCAGGUUGCUUGCCAC
This 13760-nucleotide long non-coding RNA is filed under the name Citrus maxima (pomelo). RNAcentral's name for it is "long non-coding RNA (CMAX_LNC002459)". Lineage: Eukaryota; Viridiplantae; Streptophyta; Magnoliopsida; Sapindales; Rutaceae. The record is from RNAcentral.